GAAUUGUUCGCAAUGGGCGCAAGCCUGACGACGCAACGCCGCGUGGAGGACGAAGAUCUUCGGGUCGUAAACUCCUGUCGAGCGGGAAGAAACCCGCGGGGAUGAAUAAUCCCUGCGGCUGACGGUCCCGCUAACGGAAGCCCCGGCUAACUCCGUGCCAGCAGCCGCGGUAAUACGGGGGGGGGCAAGCGUUGUUCGGAAUUACUGGGCGUAAAGGGCUCGUAGGCGGCCAACUAAGUCGGAUGUGAAAUCCCCAGGCUCAACCUGGGAACUGCAUCCGAUACUGGAUGGCUUGAAUCCGGGAGAGGGAGGCAGAAUUCCAGGUGUAGCGGUGAAAUGCGUAGAUAUCUGGAGGAAUACCGGUGGCGAAGGCGGCAUCCUGGACCGGCAUUGACGCUGAGGCGCGAAAGCCAGGGGAGCAAACGGG
Molecule: ribosomal RNA, 427 nt
Filed under: uncultured bacterium
Lineage: Bacteria
Description: bacterial SSU rRNA
Rfam family: Bacterial small subunit ribosomal RNA
Source: RNAcentral